Ameiurus melas (black bullhead) is the source of this 73-nucleotide non-coding RNA. The record is from the annotation of a GenBank genome assembly. Lineage: Eukaryota; Metazoa; Chordata; Actinopteri; Siluriformes; Ictaluridae.
AAAAUAAAAGCUCAGUGGUAGAGCUUUUUGACUGCAGCUCAAGAGGUCCUUGGUUCAAAUCCAUGUGACCCCU